UCUGCACUAGAAACUAGACUAAAAAUACUUGGUAAGAUUUUGUGUUUUUGCAGUGCACUUGAUUGAAAUGGAAGGAAAUUAUUUGAAAACUUUAUUAUUGCCCCCUUGAUGUCUUUUUUCACUGCGUUUGUGUCGUGGUGCUUUUCUGUUGCAGGUAGAUGUAAUAAAUGCCCAAACUGCUGUGACAAAGGGUCAGAUGAGGUCAAGGGGAAAAUCUUAAAGUGUUUGGAACAGAAACCAGGACCAGCCUGUGAUAAACACUUCUAUCUUGUUGAGGUCAAAGGUGGUAAAACGUUUUGCAUCAACCCGAAAUCCCAAUGGCUGAAAAACAAGAGAAACCAGGAAGGGUUAAGCUGCAGCUCAACUGACGAGCGUCGUCGGCACAAAUUAGAUGUUGGAGCAAAAACAAAAGGAAAGAAACAUCAACUUCCCUUUAUUAAAACAAGAAAAUAAUUAGAAACAUGCUUAAGAAAUAUUAACAAUGCAGAAAUAUUUUGGUUGUUGGUCAAAAUCAUCCAAUUGUUUUGGUCAGCUCUGGUCAAAAAGGGAAGCAGUAGAAAAUCUGAUUGUUUUUCCCGGUAAUUAAACGCGUCGUUUUUUGUUUUUUACAUUUGGGAUUAUUGUUCCAGCUGAGAAGCAAAAUCUUUGGUUUGUGAUCUUUCACUUCUCAGCUUUGCAGCAAGAACGCUCACCUUUGGUGUGGCGCUAAAAUGAUCAAAAACAUGCUAAUGUUCGAGUAGGCUAGCUAAAGUUAGCAUAUUAGCAUGCUAAUUAUUGUGACUUUUUGUAUGACUGUUGCCAAAUGUCCAUCUGAGCCAGCAGGUCAGUUUGAAAGAUUAUAGGGAAACUGUGCAGCAGUCAAUAAAAAUUCAAAUAUAUGUUGUAUGUUAUUGUGUAUAUUAUUAUUGUUAUUAUUAUUUUUAUUAUUGUUAUUAUUAUUUGUAUUAUUAUUAUUAUUUGCUGUUUGUUGUUAUUAUAAGUUACAAGUUGCAUCAGAAUAACUGAAUCUUGAAGAAAUCUUGGCCCAACGUCAGUAAACUUUGGACACAGACUCUUUAAGGCACAGGUCUCAAACUCCAGGCCUCCAGUCGCUGUCCAGUUU
Long non-coding RNA from Xiphophorus couchianus (Monterrey platyfish), 1102 nucleotides. RefSeq lists it as uncharacterized. The transcript is spliced from 3 exons. Lineage: Eukaryota; Metazoa; Chordata; Actinopteri; Cyprinodontiformes; Poeciliidae. The record is from RefSeq and is a predicted model, not a curated record.